UACGUAGGGUGCGAGCGUUGUCCGGAAUUAUUGGGCGUAAAGAGCUCGUAGGCGGUCUGUCGCGUCGGCUGUGAAAACUCGGGGCUCAACCCCGAGCCUGCAGUCGAUACGGGCAGACUGGAGUACUGCAGGGGAGACUGGAAUUCCUGGUGUAGCGGUGGAAUGCGCAGAUAUCAGGAGGAACACCGGUGGCGAAGGCGGGUCUCUGGGCAGUAACUGACGCUGAGGAGCGAAAGCGUGGGGAGCGAACAGG
RNAcentral lists this ribosomal RNA (253 nucleotides) under uncultured bacterium. RNAcentral's name for it is "partial 16S ribosomal RNA". It matches the Rfam family "Bacterial small subunit ribosomal RNA", at positions 524 to 776 of the family's 1533-position model. The record is from RNAcentral.